RNAcentral lists this ribosomal RNA (237 nucleotides) under Remersonia thermophila. Its description in RNAcentral is "partial 28S large subunit ribosomal RNA". It matches the Rfam family "Eukaryotic large subunit ribosomal RNA", at positions 101 to 347 of the family's 3401-position model. The record is from RNAcentral. Lineage: Eukaryota; Fungi; Ascomycota; Sordariomycetes; Sordariales; Chaetomiaceae.
GCAACAGCUCAAAUUUGAAAUCUGGCUUCGGCCGAGUUGUAAUUUGCAGAGGAAGCUUUGGGCGCGGCGCGUCUGAGUCCCCUGGAACGGGCGCCAAAGAGGGUGAGAGCCCGUAGAGACGGAUGCCUAGCCUGUGUAAAGCUCCUUCGACGAGUCGAGUAGUUUGGGAAUGCUGCUCAAAAUGGGAGGUAAAUUUCUUCUAAAGCUAAAUACCGGCCAGAGACCGAUAGCGCACAA